RNAcentral lists this ribosomal RNA (497 nucleotides) under uncultured bacterium. Its description in RNAcentral is "partial 16S ribosomal RNA". It matches the Rfam family "Bacterial small subunit ribosomal RNA", at positions 28 to 507 of the family's 1533-position model. The record is from RNAcentral.
GAUGAACGCUGGCGGCGUGCCUAAUACAUGCAAGUCGAGCGAACAGACGAGGAGCUUGCUCCUCUGAUGUUAGCGGCGGACGGGUGAGUAACACGUGGAUAACCUACCUAUAAGACUGGGAUAACUUCGAGAAACCGGAGCUAAUACCGAAUAACAUGUUGAACCGCAUAGUUCAACAGUGAAGGACGGUCUUCGUGUGACUUAUAGAUGGAUCCGCGCCGCAUUAGCUAGUUGGUAAGGUAAGGGCUUACCAAGGCAACGAUGCGUAGCCGACCUGAGAGGGUGAUCGGCCACACUGGGACUGAGACACGGUCCAGACUCCUACGGGAGGCAGCAGUAGGGAAUCUUCCGCAAUGGGCGAAAGCCUGACGGAGCAACGCCGCGUGAGUGAAGAAGGUCUUCGGAUCGUAAAACUCUGUUAUUAGGGAAGAACAAAUGUGUAAGUAACUAUGAACGUCUUGACGGUACCUAAUCAGAAAGCCACGGCUAACUACGUG